GACGAACGCUGGCGGCGUGCUUAACACAUGCAAGUCGAACGGUAAGGCCCUUCGGGGUACACGAGUGGCGAACGGGUGAGUAACACGUGGGUGAUCUGCCCUGCACUUCGGGAUAAGCCUGGGAAACUGGGUCUAAUACCGGAUAGGACCACUGCCUGCAUGGGUGGUGGUGGAAAGCUUUUGCGGUGUGGGAUGGGCCCGCGGCCUAUCAGCUUGUUGGUGGGGUGAUGGCCUACCAAGGCGACGACGGGUAGCCGGCCUGAGAGGGUGACCGGCCACACUGGGACUGAGAUACGGACCAGACGCCUACGGGAGGCAGCAGUGGGGAAUAGUGCACAAUGGGCGCAAGCCUGAUGCAGCGACGCCGCGUGAGGGAUGACGGCCUUCGGGUUGUAAACCUCUUUCAGCACCGACGAAGCGCAAGUGACGGUAGGUGCAGAAGAAGGACCGGCCAACUACGUGCCAGCAGCCGCCGUAA
Molecule: ribosomal RNA, 478 nt
Filed under: uncultured bacterium
Lineage: Bacteria
Description: partial 16S ribosomal RNA
Rfam family: Bacterial small subunit ribosomal RNA
Source: RNAcentral